Molecule: long non-coding RNA, 705 nt
Filed under: Elaeis guineensis (African oil palm)
Lineage: Eukaryota; Viridiplantae; Streptophyta; Magnoliopsida; Arecales; Arecaceae
Description: long non-coding RNA (EGUI_LNC046043)
Source: RNAcentral
GACCUAGUCUAUGAUGCUACAAGUACUUUUGAUUAAUUUCAUCUUUAGAUCUUUUUUGACUUACGGCACUCACUAUUUGCUCGUUUAAGUUCACAUUCACAUCAAUAUGCAAGUGAUAAAGAUUCAAUUAAAAGACCACAUGCAAUCAAUUUAUUUCAUAAAUAAUUAAAAUAAAAAUCUUUAUUGAAACUAAUUUCAAAAUCUUCCUGUACUAGCACAGAAAUGAAAAUCAAAUUCCAACUAGCUACGAAAAUAUAAUAACAGUUCUUUAAAUCUAAUCUAAAUCCUGACGGUAAUCGAAGAAAAAAAGUACCAACGACCUCUGCAGCAAUUUUUGCUCCAUUGCUGAUCCGAAGGAUCAUGUCACCUUUCCUCAACUUUCUACUUUCUAUCAGACCCUACAUUGAGGUACAUAUAUGAGCAUUCGAGCCAGAGUCUAAUACCCAGCUAAAAGUAGAAGAAAUCAUAAGGUUAGAUUCAAUUACGAGCAUAUCUUCAGAAGGUUUAUCACCUUUUUUGAUCUUUAGGCUCUCCAGAUAUGUUGGACAGUUCUUCCUCCAGUGGCCUUCAGCAUGAUAGUGGAAACAUUUUCUCCUUGCUUUAGCCUUCUUAGAAACUUCCUUCUUUGGCCUGUUCUCCUUCUUCUGCUUCUUAGUGGAUUUAACAUUCUUCCCAAUAGACUUUUUCUUGGAAGAAGACUACUCC